AUGAGGUGACACCGUGACACGGUUGUUGCUGAAGUAGCCACAAAGAGGGGAAGGGGCAGAAGGGCCCCGAAGGAGAAAACUUCAUCAACGAACGAAGCCAACAAUCAACAUCUUAGUCUCAGCCACACCAAUUCCGCCCUCAUCUGAUAAGAAUUGCUUGAGAUGCGUCUUGAGAAGGAGAAGACUGAAGAGCUCGAAAACCGUGGGCGUGAGCAAGAGAAGCUUCAGACUGAGCUGAAACAGUUGAAGGAUUUUAAACCUACCAUGCUAUUGAGAAAUGUUAUAACUUUAGUGGGGAUUGGGUCCGGGUUACACUAAUGAAAGCUGUGACCUCAUUGUUUUUCUUCGUACCCCAUUGCCCGGAGGCUCUUCGCUAUGCGAACAUUGUAUCUCAUCAAAAUUGCUUGAAGAAUGGGAGGCCUGAUAGAGAGUUUCUGUAUUGGAGGUGGGCUCCAAGAGAUUGUGAUUUGCCUCAGCUUGAUCCAGAAAGGUUUCUCUACAUGAUGUGGAGCAAAGCCUGGGCACUCGUUGGUGAUUCCAUUUCACUCAACAAUGUGCAAUCGCUGCUCUGCAUUCUUGCCAAGAUCUUGUUUUUUUGGUUCCAAUGCCAAAUGCUGGAGGUUGGUUUAUUUACUUUGAACAAUAAAAUCAAGGAUCUGUUGCUGUUCAAGUGAGAAAGGUGGAACAACUUGUCUCAUUCUACCAUGACGAGGAAUACAAGUGCAAAAGCUGGCGUUUUCCCUCAUACAACUUCAGUAUGUCACUUAUUUGGUCACCAUUCCUUGUGGAAGCUGCUAUUUUUGAAGACGAAAAUGGUGUUUCGAGUUCUGAAGUUGAGCUACAUCUUGACAAACUGGAUAGUAAAUGGACGGAUCAGUACCUUGACUUUGAUUACAUUAGUUUUUCAAUCGGGAAAUGGUUUCUCAAAUCUGCAAUCUACUAUGAGAAUGACACCAUAUUGGGCUGCCACUCCUGUCCUAAGAAGAACCUGACAGAGCUGGGGUUUAACUUUGCUUAUUGCAAUGCCUUGAAAUUAGUAAUGAACUUCAUAGUGUCUUCGAAUCACAAAGGGAUUUUUUUACGGACAUUCACACCUGAUCAUUUUGAAAAUAUGGAGUGGCUUAAUGGGGGAACUUGUAAGAGAACGACACCAAUUAAAGGUGAGAUGGAAAUGAAAUAUUUGAGAAAGAUGCUCCGUGACGUUGAGUUGGAUGAGGUUGGAAAGGCAGCUACUGAAGCUUAAAAAAAUGGGGUGAGUUUAAAGCUUGUGGAUGUUGCUCCAUUUUCACUAUUGAGACCUGAUGGGCAUCCUAGUCCAUACAGGCAAUUUCACCCAUUUGAAAAGGACCAAAAUGCUUCUAAAGUUCAGAAUGAUUGUUUGCAUUGGUGCUUACCUGGGCCAAUAGACUCUUGGAAUGAUAUAAUAAUGGAUAUGGUUGUCGAUGGGUAAGGAAAAAAAAAAUCAGUUAAAAGCCCCGUACAGUUGUGAAUAUUGAGUGCAUCGUUACUCUGUAUACUAUGUGUGAUCUUGACAUUCAUAUUUAUACAGAAGGACAAUGGAAAUUGGAGGCAGAUAAAUAGAAUGUAUAAACUAUUUUUUCUUCAAUAAAUAAUAAGUUAUCCUCGAGAUAUGGUUCAGAAUUCA
This is an RNA transcript of Glycine soja, 1645 nucleotides long. It is a transcript of the gene named protein trichome birefringence-like 23, with no coding region annotated. The record is from RefSeq and is a predicted model, not a curated record. NCBI's taxonomy places the organism in Eukaryota, Viridiplantae, Streptophyta, Magnoliopsida, Fabales, Fabaceae. The transcript is spliced from 4 exons.